GGUCCAGGCUAUAGUUUUCACACUGUGAGGAGAAUAAUAAUAAUAAUAAUAAUAAUAAUAUAAUAAUAUAAUAUUAUACCGCCUGAAGGAUUAAAUAUAGGAACAGAAUACGCUGUGUGAAGAAUUACAGUAAUGAAAGUCCAUUUUUCAGCGGUGGAUAAUGUGUGUGUGUGUGUAGCGCCGAAGUUGAGAACCCCCUCUCCCAUCACCAGGAAGGUGGUGGAAAGUGCAGCGACUCGGUUCCGAUACAUCAGCUCACAGACUCCUCGUGCUGCAGACAUCGCCCUUUAGAGUGACGUGGAGAGAGAGCGCCAUCUAACCACCCCAAUUGUGCUCUCUCAGGGCUCCGGUAGCCAAUUGGAAGCUACAUGAACAGGAUUCGAACUGGCAAUCACCUGAUCAUAGUGACAGCACUCAGCUUGUUGGACCACUCGGAGCCCGAAUAUCUCUAUUUUGUUGUUUUUUUAGUUUUUGACAUAAUUUAAAUACAUAAACUCUCUCCUACACUGUGUCAAAAUUUCUUAAUCAAUGGACAAAUAUAAAAUCUCUAAAAUUACCUAAAAUACACUCUUUAUACAUUGAUUUCCAUUGAAAUUUAAGAGUGUUAUCUCCCUCCUGUAAAGUUGCUGUUUUGAAGAUACCUGGUUUACAAUGGACACUGAUAAAAUGUAGGUUGGAUUACACAAAUAGACUUUGUUAAAAAUUUCAGAAAUGGAAAAAUCUGAAAACUGAAAUAUAUAUAUAUAUUUUUAUCCAUUUCAGACUGUGAGGGGCAGAAAGAAAAAACUUGAAAAUUGGAAAAAUAAAUAAAACCAUUUUCUCCUUUACUUACAAAUAAUUUUAUACAUUUUCAAUAGAGGACAAAGAAGUUCAAGGCAGAAAAAUUUUUGACAGGGCCUAAAGGAGGCAAAGGUGAAUAGUGGGAUAGAGGAGGAAAGGAGGGGGAGCAGGAAAUGAGGUUAGAGGAAGUUAGUUAGUUAGAGAGGUUAAAGGUAACGAGAAAUGCUCCUGCUCUGGUAGUGGAAUGUAGUUUAUUCUACUAUUGGGGAAAUAUGUAUGAGAACAGUCUGAAUUACUUUGUGUGAAUGCUUGGUUAAAGCUUUACUAUAUCAAAUGGAAAAAAUAUAUAUUAAAUGUUAACCCCCCCACCCAAAUUAGCUAUUCAAAUUUAUCCUAAAACGGUCAGAAAAUUAGCCUAAUAAACGUAACACUGACCCUUAAAGGUAAACACUCUAUUCAAAAGAAAUCAGUUACAGAUAUCAUGUUCCAACACAAGAGGGCAUUACUUAUGUCUAUGUAACAAAGCCUAUCUUCGAAGCCAGAAGGGCCCAGGAAUUUCACAAUGUGGUUUAAACUUUCCACAUGACUUUGCAUUACAGUUGACUCAGAACUGCUGUUUUGGCCAGCAAGCAUUAACUGUUGUGCAAUAUCCUGCGUUCAAGAAAGAAGGCUGUUUUAGUUAAGUGAGAAUUAUGUGUAGUCCAGUCAGAAUAUUUUGACCAGCUCUGUUUACAAUAUAAAUGCACUUUCUAGUUAGUCCUAUGAAUGUUUCUUCAUACAUGGAGGUUUUAAACACUUAAGAAUAUUCCAUCAACCAGAAAUAACCAGCAAACAGCGUCCUGUGGGCAGCGUCCCGAUGAAGGACUAGAGCAGGGGUCUCAAACUCAUUUUUGCCGAGGGCCACAUUGGCAUAUUGGCUGUCCUCUGAGGGCCAGAUGUAACUUAUAAAUAUAAGAAAAUGUAACCAGAUGUAAUACAAAAUGAAUGUAAUUACUCCUUAAUGUUAAAUAACUCUCAAUAUACUAUUUAUUCAAUCAAAUAUUACAGUUGCAUGGAAAAAUUGUUGCUUGUUGCUCUAUUAACAUAAAUCCUUUUAAUUUAUAAGUUAUAUUAACUUUGAUCAAAACGUUUGAUACUGAAAUAAGGCUUAAUAAAUAUAAAAUCAAAAAUUGUGAGCUGUGACAGAUUUAGCAUUUCCUCAGAUUUAGCAGUUCCUCAUCCAACCACUAGUCGGAGCUGCAGCUGCAGCACCACAAGCCCGCAGUCUUUGCUUAGUCAGAGCUGCAGCCCAGCCACGGGCUACAGGGCUCCGCUGAGCCAGUCUGGAGCGUUUUUAAAAAUUUGUAAGUUCUUCUGUGUAUGAAAUAAAAUAACCCCACUAACCGGAUAAUACAGCUCUCUACAGUUCAUCUUUCAGCCCAAGCAGCUAACAGCAGCAGUUUAGAGCAGCGUCACGGAGGCACUGCUCGGAUUACAUUAUAAACAGGUCAGUUAGCGCGCUGCUAACCUCAGGAUGUUUAUAACUACGGAGUUUAGUGGACACACCACGGCUGCAAGGUUAGACUGUUGAAGGCUACUGAAGACUACUAAAGCAGGCAACGCAGCGUAAGCAAAAAAAAAAACAAAAACCACACACACACACCAAAAUACAAGUUAAGAUAAAAUAUGAAAA
Astyanax mexicanus (Mexican tetra) is the source of this 2452-nucleotide long non-coding RNA. RefSeq lists it as uncharacterized. The transcript is spliced from 2 exons. Lineage: Eukaryota; Metazoa; Chordata; Actinopteri; Characiformes; Acestrorhamphidae. The record is from RefSeq and is a predicted model, not a curated record.